UAACGUUCACCUUGUAUCACUUGUGCGAGGCGCAUAAAUGACUGGCCACGGAACGGGGACCAGUG
Molecule: non-coding RNA, 65 nt
Submitted as: unclassified sequences
Source: Rfam